This 495-nucleotide ribosomal RNA is filed under the name uncultured bacterium. RNAcentral's name for it is "partial 16S ribosomal RNA". It matches the Rfam family "Bacterial small subunit ribosomal RNA", at positions 28 to 507 of the family's 1533-position model. The record is from RNAcentral.
GACGAACGCUGGCGGCGUGCCUAAUACAUGCAAGUAGAACGCUGAAGGAGGAGCUUGCUUCUCCGGAUGAGUUGCGAACGGGUGAGUAACGCGUAGGUAACCUGCCUGGUAGCGGGGGAUAACUAUUGGAAACGAUAGCUAAUACCGCAUAACAGUAGAUAUCGCAUGAUAUCUGCUUGAAAGGUGCAAUUGCAUCACUACCAGAUGGACCUGCGUUGUAUUAGCUAGUUGGUGAGGUAACGGCUCACCAAGGCGACGAUACAUAGCCGACCUGAGAGGGGGCACGGCCACACUGGGACUGAGACACGGCCCAGACUCCUACGGGAGGCAGCAGGAGGGAAUCUUCGGCAAUGGACGGAAGUCUGACCGAGCAACGCCGCGUGAGUGAAGAAGGUUGUCGGAUCGUAAAGCUCUGUUGUAAGAGAAGAACGAGUGUGAGAGUGGAAAGUUCACACUGUGACGGUAUCUUACCAGAAAGGGACGGCUAACUACGUG